ACUCAUUCUGACAGAAGCAGAGAUAAAACAGACUAAGUACACAGAGGAGUUUAAGGUUUCGUGAAUGUAAGUGCUGAGUACAGAAUGGUGCUCAAUAAAAGCUUGUUAAUUGAUGGACCACAGGUUUGUGACAAGACUUCUCAGAGUCUGAUUCUUUCAAGGUGGGAUAUAAGAGUAAGAUACCUUGACUAUGAAUAAUAGUUUCAAUAAGGAAGACAGAAUGAGUUCUGACACGAUGGUUGGGAGCUGUGACAGGCAGACGAAAAAUGGAGCCAAAUGGCAUGGAGGUGUGUCAUCACUGCUGGAUUUUACCUUGAUCUACAUUCAGUUAUCUACUUCUUUUCAAAAUGCUGGGCAUUCAUUCAAGAAACAGCAUAUAUGUUCUGACUUUGAAGUAAUGGAUGAACUGUCAUGUGCAGUAUAUGGAAAUAAGUUUUAUUACCUUCUUCCCACAUUAACUCAUCCAUCCAUUCAAUAGCCAUUUAUUGAGAAGCUCACUCUGUGUUAGGCACAGUGGUGUCAUGAUGUUGGAACAGUAACAAUAACUCAACCAACCAGGGCUUGUCUGAAUACAAUCCUACAGCAGCAGGAGCUGUGGAGAUAUAGAAGGCAAGGAAGACCAGGUUGUGAGGGAAGACGAAUUUACUCCCAGGAAUGUUGGGAUUGAGAGUAAUAUUCUCCAAUAAUGGUGGAAGACAGAACAAUAAAAGCCCACCAGCUCCUUCUGCAUGGUGGGAUAAGAGAAAAGCCAAGGGCAGAAGUGAGAAAAAUAACCAUCACCAAACUGAAAAGAAAACCUUUAUAAAAAAACUGGAUUGAUAAAUGACCUUUAGUAGUGGAAAGAUACCAUUCCAAUGAAGCAUGAAUUGAAAGGAUUUCUUCUGAAAGCUAAUUUACAUUUUUCUUUUUUUUUUUUUCAUUUUCAGUGUGUUUUAGCAGGUGUAUUGUUCUACAUGGUUAGUUUCUUUACCUCUUUGAGAAAAAUGGGUCAGCUUGACACAUCUGGAUGAAAGAAUCCGUUAGGUGAUUAUGAUUGAAGACAGAUUAAGCCUUGUUAUGAGGGGAAUAUUUGGGGGCUUACCCUGAGGUGAUAUUUGAUGAUUUAGCUGUGGGAGAAUUUCCCUCCCAAGAUCAGCGUGACUGACACUGAAAUUGCUACAGGGGAACCGGACCUUUCCAAGAGGUGACAAGGACAUUUACCUGGUACAACACAAUGGUUCUGGACUGGAAGUCUAGUCCCAUUGAUGAAGUUCCCAAAAGAUGUCCAGGUCCUAAUCCCUGGAAUCUGUGAAUAUGUCAUCUUACACAUCAAAAGAACUUUGAAAAUGUGAUUGAGGUUAAGGACCUUGGAAUGAGGAGAUUACCUUGGAUUAUCUGGUUGGGUCCAAGCUAAUCACAUGAGUCCUUAAAGGAGAAGAACCUUUUUUAGCUGGGUCAGAGAGAGAUGUGAUGAUGAAAACAGGCUCAGGGAGAUGCACUGUAAGAAGGGCUUGACCAGUUGUUUUUGACUUUGAAGAUGGAGGGAAGGGCCAGGAGCCAAGGAAGGUGGGUGGCUUUUGGAAGGUGGAAAAAGCAAGGGAACAUUCUCUCCAGAGCCUCCAGAAAGGAGCUCAGCCCUGUUGACAUCUUUGUUUUUAUUUUUUAUUUUUAGUAGCAUUGAGGUCUCACUAUGUUGCACAGGCUGGUCUUGAACUCUUGAGCUCAAGCACUCCUCCCGCCUUGGCUUCCCAAAGUGCUGGGAUUAUAGGCAUGUGCCACCACAUCUGGCUUCCUACUGACAUCUUAACUUUAGUGCAGUGAGACUCAUAUUUGAAUUUCUGACCUUAUAUUAUAGAACCAUAAGACAUUAUAGAAUUAUAUAGAAUUAUAGAACCAUAAGACAAUAACUUUGUGUUGUUUUAAGAUACUAAAUUUUUGGUAAUUUGUUAUGGCAGCACAAUAAAACCAAUAUAGCAUUAUAUUAUGCCAAUAUCAUCUCUUUGUUGACUAUUGCUAUUAUAGUUUGUUUUAUGGGUCUUGUGUAAACAAUCAAGCUAUAAUAUUGGGUUAACUCCCUAAGGAAAACUUGGAAUAUAGAACAUUAUUUUAAAGACUGAAUUAGGUAAAUACACCUGCCAGUGAAUACAUUAACAAAUUAAUUAAUAUAUUCACUCUUUUCACUCACAAAUACUUUUUGAGCCCCUAUUACUAGCCAAACAUUUUGUUAGAUUCUGAGAAGGGUCUGCUAGACAACAUUGUGACUAUAGUUAAUAACAAUAUAUUGUACUCUUGAAAAUUACUAAGAGAGUAGAUUUUAAGUGUUCUCACCACAAAAAAUAAGUAUGUGAGGUAAUGCAGAUGUUAGUUAGCUUGAUUUAGCCAUUCCCCAGUGUAUACAUAUUUCAAACCUUCAUAUUAUACAUGGAUAAAUAUAUACAAUUUUUAUUUGUCAAUUAAAAGCCCCUCGAUGAAUACAGUUUCCAUUCUGUCCUUGAGGUGGAGCUUGUAGACUUGGUGGGGUCCGGGGAUCAACUUUUAAACAGGCAGUUCCAAAGUGUGGAGUGGAUAGGCUUAUUCUCUUUGUUGCUUUUAUGAUAGGUAUUUAGAAUGCACUUUCCUCUGUUAAGUUAAGCCAGCCACCAUUCCCUCAUUCAGUUUCCAUCCUCCAUGAAUUUGCUCACAUCUGCGGUCUACUGUCACUCAUUCUUUCCUUCUCUUCCUGAGGGCUUGUGUGACUUAUGUUCUUGGCUUUCUCUU
This 2736-nucleotide long non-coding RNA is filed under the name Homo sapiens (human). RNAcentral describes it as "HSALNT0313191". The record is from RNAcentral. Lineage: Eukaryota; Metazoa; Chordata; Mammalia; Primates; Hominidae.